AUGAUAGUGAGAAGAUUUGACUGCUCCAGCGAAGUUCAGCAAUUUCUGGCCACCAGCUGGGCCUCAUUCGCUCGGGUUCGACGCUGUUGCUGACGCCGGCGACUCUUCCGUCACUUCCGGCUUCGUUUCUGGCUUGACAACAUCUGUAGGCCGAGCAUCAAGGAUCACGCUAGGUUGUAGCACCAGGAAUCAUCAGUUCUCCCUCAAGCCAGCUUCGGCAGUGUGUGGGAAACUGGGUUUAGCUGAAAUCGAUUCUUGAAGGUAUAAUUCGAACCUUGUUGUCCUUUUUGUGACAGUCGAAACUUGAUGAACUGGGUUGUUUGGCUGAGAUUGUAUUACACUGGUUCUAUGUUUGGUUGCUCAAGGUUGGGUUUGAAUCGGAUAGAGAAUCCAAAUGAGUUGAUAACCUGUGUUAUUGUGGCCUUGAAGUGAAUAUUUGGUUGACUGAAUGUUGUAUAAGCUCGAUUGCAUGUGCAGAAUGGGUUGUGUGUCAAUGUGAAUGGAUUGUGAUUGUCAAGCUUGU
Molecule: long non-coding RNA, 523 nt
Filed under: Rosa chinensis
Lineage: Eukaryota; Viridiplantae; Streptophyta; Magnoliopsida; Rosales; Rosaceae
Description: sRNA RchiOBHm_Chr4g0412881
Source: RNAcentral